GACAGAGGCCACAAGCGUUAGGCGGAAUCACUGGGCUUAAAGCGUGUGUAGGCGGAUCGUUAAGUGCCUUGUGAAAUCCCCCGGCUCAACCGGGGAACUGCUGGGCAGACUGGCGAUCUUGAGCUAUUCAGGGGCGACUGGAACAAGCGGUGGAGCGGUGAAAUGCGUAGAUAUCGCUUGGAACGCCUGCGGUGAAAACGGGUCGCUGGGGAUAUGCUGACGCUGAGACACGAAAGCCAGGGGAGCAAACGGG
RNAcentral lists this ribosomal RNA (253 nucleotides) under uncultured bacterium. RNAcentral describes it as "partial 16S ribosomal RNA". It matches the Rfam family "Bacterial small subunit ribosomal RNA", at positions 524 to 776 of the family's 1533-position model. The record is from RNAcentral.